RNAcentral lists this ribosomal RNA (405 nucleotides) under uncultured bacterium. Its description in RNAcentral is "partial 16S ribosomal RNA". It matches the Rfam family "Bacterial small subunit ribosomal RNA", at positions 30 to 526 of the family's 1533-position model. The record is from RNAcentral.
AUUGAACGCUGGCGGCAGGCUUAACACAUGCAAGUCGAACGAGUGGCGGACGGGUGAGUAGUGCUUGGGAAUCUAGCUUAUGGAGGGGGAUAACUACGGGAAACUUUAGCUAAUACCGCUUACGGUAGGAUGGGCCGACGUGGGAUUAGGUAGUUGGGGAGGUAAAGGCUCACCAAGCCGACGAUGUCUAGCUGGUCUGAGAGGGUGACCAGCCACACUGGGACUGAGACACGGCCCAGACUCCUACGGGAGGCAGCAGUGGGGAAUAUUGCGCAAUGGGGGCAACCUGACCCAGCCACGCCGCGUGAGUGAAGAAGGCCUUCGGGUUGUAAAGUUCUUUCGGUAGCGAGGCGGUAACUAAAGAAGAAGCAACGGCUAACUCCGUGCCAGCAGCCGCGGUAAUAC